UACGGAGGGGGCAAGCGUUAUUCGGAAUUAUUGGGCGUAAAGGGCGUGUAGGCGGCCAUAUAUGUCUCAUGUGAAAGCCCUCGGCUCAACCGAGGAAUUGCAUGGGAAACGGUAUGGCUUGAGUCCGGGAGAGGAUAGUGGAAUUCCCAGUGUAGCGGUGAAAUGCGUAGAUAUUGGGAGGAACACCGGUGGCGAAGGCGGCUAUCUGGACCGGUACUGACGCUGAGACGCGAAAGCCAGGGGAGCAAACGGG
This 253-nucleotide ribosomal RNA is filed under the name uncultured bacterium. Its description in RNAcentral is "partial 16S ribosomal RNA". It matches the Rfam family "Bacterial small subunit ribosomal RNA", at positions 524 to 776 of the family's 1533-position model. The record is from RNAcentral.